RNAcentral lists this ribosomal RNA (468 nucleotides) under uncultured bacterium. RNAcentral's name for it is "partial 16S ribosomal RNA". It matches the Rfam family "Bacterial small subunit ribosomal RNA", at positions 28 to 507 of the family's 1533-position model. The record is from RNAcentral.
GACGAACGCUGGCGGCGUGCUUAACACAUGCAAGUCGAACGGAAAGGCCCUGCUUUUUUGGGUUGCUCGAGUGGCGAACGUGUGUGUAACACGUUAGUAACCUUCCCUUGACUUUGGGAUAACUUCAGGAAACCGGGGCUAAUCCCGGAUAGGAGCUCCUGCUGCAUGGUGGGGGUUGGAAAGUUUCGGCGGUUGGGGAUGGACUCGCGGCUUAUCAGCUUGUUGGUGGGGUAGUGGCUUCCCAAGGCUUUGACGGGUAGCCGGCCUGAGAGGGUGCCCGGCCACAUUAGGACUGGGAAAGGCCCCAGACUCAUCACGGGGGCAGCGGUCGGGAUGAUAGCACGGGGAGAGGAGGUCUGAUGCAGCAACGUAGGGUGCGGGAUGAAGAUCUUGGUGCUGUGGGCCGCUUUCGCGGGUAGCGAGGAGUGAGUGAGGGUAAUGGGUAGAGAGGGCACGGCUAACUACGUG